Long non-coding RNA from Leopardus geoffroyi (Geoffroy's cat), 424 nucleotides. RefSeq lists it as uncharacterized. The record is from RefSeq and is a predicted model, not a curated record. The transcript has 3 exons. NCBI's taxonomy places the organism in Eukaryota, Metazoa, Chordata, Mammalia, Carnivora, Felidae.
CCUGACCGUGGUCGGUGACUUUCAGCACGAACCUCCCGUCCACCACGCAGUUCCGUGACUUAAGGCGCCCGUGGGCCACGCCUCGGUGGUGCAGAUACCUCAUUCCCUGGAAGGGGAGGUCGUGGAGGGAGCCCCGGGUACAAUGCUCGGAGACCACAGCCAGCAUGCGCUCCCCGGGGGCCAUGGUGCCACCCGCGCCGCCGCCGAGGAAGAGCCCCAGAUGCCUGUGGUUAAGUGGUGACUUAGUCUGGGGACCCUAAGUCAUUCUGCAGCUGUGACCGAGAGCUUCUGUGGAGGCAUCAGAGGAGGCCAGGCGGAGGCUGCACGAUGUAAGGGGGGCCUCGAGGUGGGACGAUCAGAAUAAGCCAGGCCACCGCCUCCUUGCCAGCUUUCCGCUUCGCCCAGUAGGCAUUAUCUGACUCUU